CAAAGUUUAGCCGACCUUUUCCAUUCAUGACGGUGACAACAUUGAAGAGGUCUUCGUAUCAAUUCUUUCCAAACCUGUAACUUAGCCUAACACAAAAUCGAAAUCGGGAAAACGAUGUCGCAGUUGAAGGGUUUACGGAGAGAUCGUCUAUUAAUAAUAAAGCAGAAUCACUUUUGCUUUACUGAAUUCAAAGAGUUAUGAACAAAUUGCAUGUAUUUGGGUGAUUAGUGGCAUAAAUCAUCCUUAUAUAUAGCCGUAUGUGGAGCUUUCUGAUUCUUAAUGUGGAGGGUGAUCUUAUGGAAAAAAAAACAUAAGGAAGCGUAGCCAUUUUCGAGUGAAGCCGCAAACAAAGUGAAGAAAGUAUGAAGGUUUCAAUUGAGUUAUUAUGUUUUCAUGUUUUAGAAAGAUAAAAAUUGAAGAGUUUUUAGUUCAUGGAGCUAGUCCUUUAUGGUGACAUUCA
Non-coding RNA from Camelina sativa (false flax), 460 nucleotides. The record is from RefSeq and is a predicted model, not a curated record. Lineage: Eukaryota; Viridiplantae; Streptophyta; Magnoliopsida; Brassicales; Brassicaceae.